UCAUCUGCAUCGCCGGAGCGUUUUCGCUGAAGCCGAGCGCUUUUUUUUCUUUGUCUCCCGCGCACUGCGCAUCUAAUAGCUCUUUCACACAGUCCGGCAGCACGUCGCCAUGCCUCCGAAAGGUUUGUUCAAGUCCGCGGCAAAGGCUCAGAGGGCAAAAGCCAAGAAGGAAAGGCAGCUGCUCGAGGCGCGUAUGAGGGAGUGCUACGAAAAAUGUGCUGAGGCCCGAGGAUAUCUAGAACCGACAGGUCGUAGCGCGGAGCCAAACUUCACCAAGGCCAAAACGGCACUGGAUGCUGCCAUUGAGGCAUACGACGCAAGCUCGCUUGCGUUCUUCCUGCUCGGGCAAUGGAACCGAAUGCAGGGAAUGUACAAGGAAGCGAUCGAGUGCUACUCUCACGCGCUGGACUUGGAGCCAACAAACGUGCAGGCUCUUGAAUGGCGCGCAAACUGCUUCCAAACCUUGCACGAUUACCUGCACGCCAUCGAAGACAAUACUAGUAUUAUCUCGCUAGAUCCAGAAAACGAUCAUGCGUACAACAUGCGUGGUCUUUGUGUUCUGCAGAGCAGCGUACCGGGGUUGCGCUUGCGCUCCGUUCAUUUUGAGUCCUGCGUGCGUGACUUUAGCGCCGCGGUCCGCCUCAACGAGGCCAACUACUACGCUAUGGCAAACUUGGGCAAGGCGUACGAGGUCCAAGGCCACUUGGAGAAGGCGAUCGAGUGCUACGGAAAGGCGCUCGACAGUAGUGAAGGCUAUGCCUACGCGAGGUUUCGCCGUGGGUGCACAGCGUUGCACAUGGCGGAGAGGUCAAUUCUGCGGCGAGAGGAGAGCGAAGGGAGUUCUGACAGCGACGCGCCGGAGGCAUCUGCCGACGCGGCAAAGGCAGUGCAUGGCAGCUCAACCCAACACAUGACAGAAGCGGCCUCCUCGACUAUUAGUCGAGUCCCUGGCGGCGCGACGACUCUCAAGGAGGUGAAGGCCGAGGUGCGCCAGCAAAUUGAGGAGGAGGAGGAAGCGCAGAAGGCAGCGAAGCUGUUGAAGCUGGCUGAUGGCGAUUUCACUAUGUUGCUAGACCGCAGCCCGGAGGCAAAGAUACUCACGGCGGAUGCGACCGUGGUGCUGAACAUCGGCAUUUGCGCACUUUUGAGCAAGAACAUCAACAGGGCGGAGGAGCAUCUGAAGCUCGCUCAGGAGAUCGUGGCAAAGAGACCGGGCCUUGUCGAGGAGGGGGAGGCGCCGCCGCUUGAAAACAUGGACACCUUCAACAGCGUACUGGCUAUUCGGUUGAAUGAGCUGCAGAAGUUGAAAGACAUGGCGAGAUCCGCGGCAUGAUAUCGCGUAUACGCCCUUUUUCUGCGCACAUGUACAGAUGUAAAAUACCGUUUUGUUCUUUGGAGCGUGCUACAUGGUGCUGAGGGUUUCAUUUUCCCCAAUGGUGCGCCUAGUGGUGCCCUAUGGGCUUCGCCUUGAUGCGAAGGCGAAGCUUGGCGAUGCGGCGACACCCUCGCACAUACGAAGUGGGGAGGACCCCGGUGAGUCGGGUUAUGCGUGUUACAACCUACGUCAAGAUAACGUACGCUGCGGCAAAACGCACACUCCCUUGAGUAGCUUACGAGGGGCCGGGCGGACUUGAGUCGAUAUUUGCGCACGCGGUGCUCGCAUCUCGUCAGACGACAAUGCGCACGCGUGCCAGUCAU
RNAcentral lists this unclassified non-coding RNA (1698 nucleotides) under Leishmania donovani. RNAcentral describes it as "gene:LdHU3.11.0630(CDS-product:tetratricopeptide_ repeat_(TPR)_protein)". Lineage: Eukaryota; Euglenozoa; Kinetoplastea; Trypanosomatida; Trypanosomatidae. The record is from RNAcentral.